GGAAAAAACUGUCGUAUUAGUAACAAGAAAAAGAUGGAAAAAUUUAUUGAUAUAACAUUUUUAAUGAGUAUAAAUAAUACAAUUAUUAUUGAUUUAUUAAUAAGAAAAAUAAAAACUGGAGAAAAUCCAAGGUAGAAGGUUUAUUUUUCCGUCCAAAAAGAAACAUACUCCCUCGAUUGGCAGUUUUCCCAGCCCCAUCCGGUAGGUCAAUAUAUUUCCUCACAAUCCGUCCGUUUCCCACUCACAUAUGUGUAUAUUUAGCAGCGUAGGUUCAUCACUAAAUGUAGUUUUCGGACGCACGUCAUCAUCAGCCAUCCCGCACUCACUCACUCAUGUUUUAGGUGCGAAAUAGUGGAGUCUAAUUUUAAACAAACAGAUGCUAAAUAGAUUCACACCAACCACAUUCAUCCACUGUUACUACGCUAGCUUACCGGUCAACCGGUUUCAACCCGAAUGUCAUACCAUGUCAUAUGCACUGUUUACAGUAUAGGGCACAUUCGAUAGUAGGGUUCGCCACCUACUUCACCAGCUAGCUAUAAUACGUUGGAGAUCAUCCAUAUCUUCAUCACGCCCUUUUUCGCAGUGUGCGUUUUUCUGACUUUUUGUUCUUUCUUUUUUUCAGUAUGGAGACUGUUUUCCUACUAAGCAAAAUAUCGUCGUCAUCUCGGUGAAAGAAAACAUCCUAAAAUGCAUCCUCAUUCUGCAGGUUAACUGACGCAAUCGAAUGCACUUCCCAGAUGUUGACAUGCCACAUUACUCUUAGACAUUGUGAACUCCAAACAUUCCUAAAGCGCAAUCCAAAAAUAAUAAUAAUAAUAAUGAGAUAAAAGGUGAGUAGAAGAUGUUAGUUUGUCUAAGCGGCCAAAGCACCCGGUGAUCAGUAGUUCUGUCUGGUUAGCGAUGCCGGCACCCUAUGGAUGCUUCCAAUACUCGAUGCUCGAAGAAUGUUCCCUUGCAUGAACCAUAAAAUCCAGAAGUAACGGAAGAUAAAACUAGAAGUAGUCAGCUUCCGGUGCAUGGAGGAAAGCAUUUAACACGACAUCAAAACAUGUCGCAUUCUCAUUAAAUCGGUAAAUUCGGGAAAAAUUUAAGGGUUUUGUCUUAUUUUUCAACAGUUCAAAACAAUCAAUUAACUAUAAUAAAAAAUGAAUAAAUUAGUAUCUCUUAAA
Molecule: long non-coding RNA, 1169 nt
Organism: Malaya genurostris
Lineage: Eukaryota; Metazoa; Arthropoda; Insecta; Diptera; Culicidae
Exons: 2
Source: RefSeq, a predicted model, not a curated record